GAUGAACGCUGGCGGCGUGCCUAAUACAUGCAAGUCGAGCGAACGGACGAGAAGAUUGCUUCUCUGAUGUUAGCGGCGGACGGGUGAGUAACACGUGGAUAACCUACCUAUAAGACUGGGAUAACUUCGGGAAACCGGAGCUAAUACCGGAUGAUAUUUUGAACCGCAUGGUUCAAAAGUGAAAGACGGUCUUGCUGUCACUUAUAGAUGGAUCCGCGCUGCAUUAGCUAGUUGGUAAGGUAACGGCUUACCAAGGCAACGAUGCAUAGCCGACCUGAGAGGGUGAUCGGCCACCCUGGAACUGAGACACGGUCCAGACUCCUACGGGAGGCAGCAGUAGGGAAUCUUCCGCAAUGGGCGAAAGCCUGACGGAGCAACGCCGCGUGAGUGAUGAAGGUCUUCGGAUCGUAAAGCUCUGUUAUUAGGGAAGAACAUAUGUGUAAGUAACUGUGCACAUCUUGAUGGUACCUAAUCAGAAAGCCACGGCUAACUACGUG
Molecule: ribosomal RNA, 497 nt
Filed under: uncultured bacterium
Lineage: Bacteria
Description: partial 16S ribosomal RNA
Rfam family: Bacterial small subunit ribosomal RNA
Source: RNAcentral